This 497-nucleotide ribosomal RNA is filed under the name uncultured bacterium. RNAcentral's name for it is "partial 16S ribosomal RNA". It matches the Rfam family "Bacterial small subunit ribosomal RNA", at positions 28 to 507 of the family's 1533-position model. The record is from RNAcentral.
GAUGAACGCUGGCGGCGUGCCUAAUACAUGCAAGUCGAGCGAAAAGACGAGGAGCUUGCUCCUCUGACGUUAGAGGCGGACGGGUGAGUAACACGUGGAUAACCUAUCUAUAAGACUGGGAUAACUUCGGGAAACCGGUACUCAAACCGGUAAUUAUUUUGAACAACUAGGAUCAAUAACUACAGACGGUAUUGCUGUGCAUUAUCGAUGGUACCGAGCCGCAUUAGCUAGUUUGUAAGGUAACGACUUACUAAGGCAACGCUGAGUAGCAGACCUGAGAUGGGGAUCAGCCACACUAGAACGGAAACACGGCCCAGACUCCAACGGUAGGCAGCAGUGGGGAAUGGUCCACAAUGCGCGAAAGCCUGACGGAGCAACGCCGCGCGGGUUGUAAAAGGCUUCGGAUCUUAAAACUCUGUUAUUAUUGAAGAACAAAUGUCUAAGUAACUAUGCACUACUUGACGGUACCGAAUCAGAAAGCCACGGCUAACUACGUG